This 254-nucleotide ribosomal RNA is filed under the name uncultured bacterium. Its description in RNAcentral is "partial 16S ribosomal RNA". It matches the Rfam family "Bacterial small subunit ribosomal RNA", at positions 524 to 777 of the family's 1533-position model. The record is from RNAcentral.
AACGUAGGAGACAAACGUUAUCCGGAGUUACUGGGCGUAAAGGGCGUGUAGGCGGUCUGUUAAGUCUGGCGUGAAAGCUCUCGGCUAAACCGGGAGAGGUCGUUGGAUACUGGCAGACUAGAGGACGGUAGAGGCGUGUGGAAUUCCGGGUGUAGUGGUGAAAUGCGUAGAGAUCCGGAGGAACACCAGUGGCGAAGGCGACACGCUGGGCCGUACCUGACGCUAAAGCGCGACAGCAUGGGGAGCAAACGGGG